ACGAAUGUGAUUGUAGAAUCUCCGGAAUCUUCACUAAGAGAUCCGGCAAGAAUACUCUCUCCGAUGAAAGGGACUGAAGGGUGAGUUUUAAUUGGUGGGAUUUAAUUCUUUUUACAAUAUUCAUUCGGCAAUAAACAAUUAUAUAUAUAUAAUUUUUUUGGGGGAGCCUAGGGCCGCAUUUGUUUGACUAGGAGAGUGGAUAUGCCAAAUGCGAACUACCAAAGUGUGGACUUCCAAAUAAUUUGAACACUUAUGUUGAAAAAUUUUUAAUGUCAACUUUAAGGGGUUG
RNAcentral lists this long non-coding RNA (289 nucleotides) under Malus domestica (apple). Its description in RNAcentral is "long non-coding RNA (MDOM_LNC009126)". The record is from RNAcentral. Lineage: Eukaryota; Viridiplantae; Streptophyta; Magnoliopsida; Rosales; Rosaceae.